This is a long non-coding RNA of Anguilla rostrata (American eel), 2298 nucleotides long. RefSeq lists it as uncharacterized. The transcript has 2 exons. The record is from RefSeq and is a predicted model, not a curated record. NCBI's taxonomy places the organism in Eukaryota, Metazoa, Chordata, Actinopteri, Anguilliformes, Anguillidae.
UCCCUAAUAUUAAUAAGUAGUACAUAUGCUUCGCCCCGCUAUAAUCUCUCUCGCGCCUGUCACGUCUCGCGCUUCACAGCGCCGUCAGCACCACAGACAGCAACGGUGGCCCAGAGCAACUCCAGCCCGGACAGCGCCGCGCUGAUUGCCGUGAUUAUUCAAUCAUCCGGAGCCAGCCGUCGCAGAUAUCCUCCGGCGGCUGCAAGCAAUUAGGACACCGCCAGCUUCGCUGUAUUAAGGCGUCUUACCCUUCAAGUUUGAGUCUGCUUUCCCUGAGACUUCAACCGCUGUGGCGCUCGUUUCGGAGACAGAACCAGAGGCGGAAGCCCUCGGCGCCCUCGAACCCCGGGCCUUGACCGUCCCAGCCAUAGCUCCACAUCUCCCCCUCUGAACCUACUCACGCCUUUUUUCCUAUGUUGUUUAUAAACAUAGUCCGUGUGGCUAGUCUUAUUAUACAACCUUAUAAAAUAAAAAAUAAAAACAUUUCUUGAUAGCAUUUUAGAUAUCAAAGUAUUUUACAUUUACAGGAACGAUCUACUGGCAAAUCCCAAAUGGACAAUUCCGAAUGCAGCUAAAAAAGAUAAGUAACGACGCAAAAUAAAAUUCCAUUUGACGGGCUUUUCAGAUGUUUACCCCCGCGUGGUAUUUCUUUCAGUAAAAAAUUAAUAGAAUAAUGUUCCACGUUCCAACGAGGAAAACUGUAUAAUUAAUGCCUAAUCACGCCGCACCUUCAGUUCCAGACUAGUACUGAUUGCACGCGGUGCUCCCGGAUGAUUUGCCAGAUGCACGCUCGUGUGUGUUUAAUUUUGGUGGGGGGGUGGGGGGGGAGCGUUCCUUUGAUUCGGGCGUACGUUUUGGAAUGCGUGAUUCGUGCGACGGCAACAGCAUUUGCAUUUAAAUGCCUUUGACAGUAAACGCGAUUACCAUAGCGAUUUCUCGCUGGUGGCGAACAGAAGAAGGCAGAUUUGAGUUAACCCUCCGAAGCAGGCCCCGGAUAGACCCUUCGCUCAGGCAAUGACGUUCUCCCCCUCUUUUUUUUUUACCGGUAAAUGAAAUUGCACGACCGAGUAUUGGAUCACUGCGCCACCAUUACGGUCUCCAGACCCCUAAAUAACCAUGUUCCCUCCUGACUCGCAGCUGUAGGCCUACCUGACAGGGAACAUCGCUGCUCUGAGUGAUUAUUCAUCACUGAUUGCAGGCGCUUUUGCAGCGCACUGAACCAGACUGUCAGAUUUGUACGGGAUUGUGACAGAUCACCACCCGCGAUUCUGUCUGUGGAACUGGUCUGCACUUGGUGCUAUGUCAUUGCGCUGCUAACUACAGCACCCGUAGCAGAGGGGCCUGAAUUUCUUAAGCGUAUAUAUAUAUCCAGUAUAUGCGCACGUCAGAUUCUGAUUUGAUACUGUGGCUGGAGAAGUCCCUGCAGAUUUUCCUUACGGAAACAUCUAUUUUCAUCGACAUUCGUAACAGAAUUCGUCUUCUGCAUCAUAGUAAAUUUUGGCUGGUAGUAUUUUGUUUUAAUUUUUAUUGGAAAAAAAAAAAAAAACCCUGGGUCUGUUAGAGUGAUUUAAACAUUUUACCAGUAUCUGAAAGAGUUAAAAUAUUUGAACAAGGUCUGGUCCCGAUGUACGGAUGGAUAAAAACAAGCAAAUAUAAGCACAGUUUGUUACCCUGGAACUGGAAUUAAAUCAUGUAGCAAUCUGGGCUGUUGGUGGCACCACCCGCGGCAGAGAGUCCUUGGAUGACAUAAAUCAUUUCAACAGUGUCUGUAAAUAAUCCACGUUUCAUUUCUCUGUACAGACUUCAAGAGAACACACUGUGUGGCUUGAAUAAAAGCUAAAAUUCACAAAUUUGAAAACGGAGGACCCAGGAUAAUUCAAGCUCCCCCCUUUCUGGGGCCUUCAGUGGUUUUCUCGUAAUUUCCCUGCUUAGCUGCUCAUUUCCCCCAGCUGCGUCGCCACGGUCCGCCAUUCUGCCUCCACAGUCCACCAUUCUGGCUCCGCGGUCCACCAUUCCGGCUCUGUUUCCCUCCAAGGGACCCUUUUUGUCAGAAUUGCCUGGGAACUGCCAUCCCUCAGAGGAAAACGCCGUUUGACCAUUAGCUCCGUUGACAUGAGAAGCAAGUAGCCAAUGGGAACGCGCAGGCUCAUCUUGAACACCCCAUUCGCCACACCCCGAUGGUCGCAGGUCAAACGGAAACGGGACUUUAAUAGCAACGACCUGAUGCAACCGCACUGCAAAUGUUUGAAAUCGGAUCAAAAAAUCUGACUCCAUUUUUCUUUUUUCUUUUUUUUUUUU